This 227-nucleotide long non-coding RNA is filed under the name Olea europaea (common olive). RNAcentral describes it as "long non-coding RNA (OEUR_LNC007737)". The record is from RNAcentral. Lineage: Eukaryota; Viridiplantae; Streptophyta; Magnoliopsida; Lamiales; Oleaceae.
CACUAUCAAUGCACAUACUUUUCGAAUCAACUUCAUAAGAAGAACAAAUCCCAGGAUCACUAUAAACCCUGCUAGUGUUGGCUCGUCCGGAUGAUCCAAGCUUGUAUAGUCAUUUAGUCAAUAAUUUUCAUUCGAAUGUGUAGAUCUUCUUACACCUCCGAUUGGCCAAAUUACGGAUGGAAUUCCAUACGGGACAUCACAAAAAUCACUUCAAUCCAUUAUUUAUA